GACGAACGCUGGCGGCGUGCUUAACACAUGCAAGUCGAACGGUGAAGCCUUUCGGGGUGGAUCAGUGGCGAACGGGUGAGUAACACGUGGGUAACCUGCCUCUUGCUCUGGGAUAAGCCUAGGAAACGGGGGCUAAUACCGGAUAUUCCCGCAUUGUCGCAUGGUGGUGUGGGGAAAGCUUUUGCGGAUUGGGGUGGGCUCGCGGCCUAUCAGCUUGUUGGUGGGGUGAUGGCCUACCAAGGCUUUGACGGGUAGCCGGCCUGAGAGGGCGACCGGCCACACUGGGACUGAGACACGGCCCAGACUCCUACGGGAGGCAGCAGUGGGGAAUAUUGCACAAUGGACGCAAGUCUGAUGCAGCGACGCCGUGUGAGGGAUGACGGCCUUCGGGUUGUAAACCUCUUUCGUCAGGGACGAAGCCGUGAGGUGACGGUACCUGGAGAAGAAGCGCCGGCCAACUACGUGCCAGCAGCCGCGGUAAGACGUAGGGCGCGAGCGUUGUCCGGAUUUAUUGGGCGUAAAGAGCUCGUAGGCGGCUCAUUGCGUCAACCGUGAAAACCAGCAGCUCAACUGUUGGCUUGCGGUUGAUACGGGUGGGCUGGAGUUCGGUAGGGGAGACUGGAAUUCCUGGUGUAGCGGUGAAAUGCGCAGAUAUCAGGAGGAACACCGGUGGCGAAGGCGGGUCUCUGGGCCGAUACUGACGCUGAGGAGCGAAAGCGUGGGGAGCGAACAGGAUUAGAUACCCUGGUAGUCCACGCUGUAAACGUUGGGCGCUAGGUGUGGGGG
This 786-nucleotide ribosomal RNA is filed under the name uncultured Actinomycetes bacterium. RNAcentral's name for it is "bacterial SSU rRNA". It matches the Rfam family "Bacterial small subunit ribosomal RNA", at positions 28 to 828 of the family's 1533-position model. The record is from RNAcentral. Lineage: Bacteria; Bacillati; Actinomycetota; Actinomycetes.